Long non-coding RNA from Stegastes partitus (bicolor damselfish), 1527 nucleotides. RefSeq lists it as uncharacterized. The transcript is spliced from 2 exons. NCBI's taxonomy places the organism in Eukaryota, Metazoa, Chordata, Actinopteri, Pomacentridae. The record is from RefSeq and is a predicted model, not a curated record.
AUUGUUGUGAUGUUAAGUUUAGAUUUGCUUCCUUUUCUGGAUGGAACCACACAUCAUGAGUCAGAGUUUCAGGUGUGAGGAUUCUUGGAGUUUGUUCCACUUGGUGCCUCUGAUCAAUGCUGUGCUGUCGGCUGUGCUGUUGAAGAUCUCCCGCCUGUUAAAGCAGCAGCAGCAGCAGGCUGAAGGUUCACAUUGUUCAGAUGCAGGACUUUAACUCAAGUAUAUUCACAGUGUUCUCCAUGAACCCAGACACAGCUUCACUGGCACAUGGUGAUGUAUUUACAAUCCAGGAGAGAGAAUGUGACGUGAACAAACUCAUUUUAGGGGAACAUUAUAUCUGCUCAGUGAAGCUGUGUUCACAAGAACGUGUCCCAUAAAAACACUCUCUGACUUUCCUUCCUUUUCAUUGACUGAUCUGCUGCUUUUACUUUCUCUCAGCCUGUCAUCACAUCAUGUGGAGGGAUAAAUGUGUGUCACUUGUUGUGUUUGUGUUGCAGUCUGAGCCACAACCACAUCACAGAUGCUUCCACAGAUGUGUUGCUGCAGCUGCUCUCCGUGGACUCGUCCAUCGACGCCGUGCGACUCUUCAGCAACAACAUCGUGGACACGACACCCUUUAAGAAACACAAGCAGGUUGAGGUGUGGUGAACCAGUCAGGUGGUCAUCAGGGAGGAGCUGCUGGAUGAUCAGAUGAAAACAUUGGUCGGAGUGCAGCCGCUCAGACUGAUCAUCAGGAGUGUGUGAGAGCAGGACGGUCCUUUAAACAGGCUUUGAUUUUUACCACCUUAGAGUGUCUUUGUUUUUAUAGAAUGAAGGAGACCACACUUUAUGGAGGCAAAGAGCAGCCAGCAGUGUUUUCUAAAGCUUCACGAUGCGUCUGUUGUUUCACAGGAUUGGUUUGUGGAGCUCAUAUUUAUGUUUGGUACCAUGUAAUGAUCAUCCGGACGUCUCUGCAUCUGAAAUGAUUCUUAUUGUGACAAAACAAAGAGACCAUAGCUGUUGCUGCUGCCACCAGGCUGAACUUCUGUUCUUCUGCUUCAGUGAUAACUGUAUUUAUUCCUGUUUGUGCGUUUCAGUCGAGGCACAUUAAAAUGACACUGAUGACAGCAGCACUUCGUUCAGGAGGAAACUGUUUGGUACCUUCACACACCUGCAAGAAAUCAUCAUCAGACUGUGAAGAUGUGUUUGAUUUGAAAUGAAGCAGCACCACAGAUAAUGUGUCUUCCUGUGCUGCUUCUCUCCUCUUUAUAUUUGACAAUGUUGUGAUUUCUGUCAUGAAGCAUCUCUGACAGCUCGCUGCAGUUCUUCAGUGUCUUCUUCAUGUGAUCCAGAGGGACUGAGAUCAGGACGUGGAAGCUCAUCAUGUUCCUGUUUCCUCUGAAUUCAUAAAAACAUCAAAGUCACAAGUUCAUCACAUCACAUGUUGUCAUGGCAGCCAUGGAAGGAAUCAACAUACGUUUUAUUUUUGUACAAUAUUUAACUGAUGAGCAGCUGGUGGAACAAUAAAAAUAAUGAGAGCAAGUGUGA